CUUUGGACUUAAUUCAGGAAGACUCCCGCUAAC
RNAcentral lists this ribosomal RNA (33 nucleotides) under Tricholoma terreum. Its description in RNAcentral is "partial 28S ribosomal RNA". The record is from RNAcentral. Lineage: Eukaryota; Fungi; Basidiomycota; Agaricomycetes; Agaricales; Tricholomataceae.